Molecule: ribosomal RNA, 274 nt
Filed under: uncultured bacterium
Lineage: Bacteria
Description: partial 16S ribosomal RNA
Rfam family: Bacterial small subunit ribosomal RNA
Source: RNAcentral
AUACGGAGGGGGCUAGCGUUGUUCGGAAUUACUGGGCGUAAAGCGCACGUAGGCGGCUUGUCAAGUUGGGGGUGAAAGCCCGGAGCUCAACUCCGGAACUGCCCUCAAAACUGGCUCGCUAGAGUCCGGGAGAGGUGAGUGGAAUUCCCAGUGUAGAGGUGAAAUUCGUAGAUAUUGGGAAGAACACCAGUGGCGAAGGCGGCUCACUGGACCGGUACUGACGCUGAGGUGCGAAAGCGUGGGGAGCAAACAGGAUUAGAUACCCCGGUAGUCC